Molecule: transfer RNA, 74 nt
Filed under: Clostridia bacterium
Lineage: Bacteria; Bacillati; Bacillota; Clostridia
Also listed under: 1 other name
Description: tRNA-His
Rfam family: tRNA
About the family: Transfer RNA (tRNA) molecules are approximately 80 nucleotides in length.
Source: RNAcentral
GUGGUUGUAGCUCAGCUGGUCAGAGCGCCAGGUUGUGGCCCUGGAGGUCGUGGGUUCGAACCCCAUCAAUCACC